UCCUUGGUGGCCUAGUGGUUAAAGAUGCUGUGUUGUCACUGCUGUGUUUCAGGUUCGAUCCCUGGCCUGGGAA
Molecule: transfer RNA, 73 nt
Filed under: Sus scrofa (pig)
Lineage: Eukaryota; Metazoa; Chordata; Mammalia; Artiodactyla; Suidae
Rfam family: tRNA
About the family: Transfer RNA (tRNA) molecules are approximately 80 nucleotides in length. Their secondary structure includes four short double-helical elements and three loops (D, anti-codon, and T loops).
Source: Rfam by way of RNAcentral